Megalops cyprinoides (Indo-Pacific tarpon) is the source of this 302-nucleotide long non-coding RNA. RefSeq lists it as uncharacterized. The transcript has 3 exons. The record is from RefSeq and is a predicted model, not a curated record. Lineage: Eukaryota; Metazoa; Chordata; Actinopteri; Elopiformes; Megalopidae.
GGAAGCUCUUGACGAGUGAUUUGAACGCGUCAGUACAGAGAGACGGAACUGCGAUUUUUGUUUCCACCAUGGUUUGCUGUGCUGCAUGGGGAUGCUCCAGCCGCUCGAAGAAAGGAGUACGAAUGUAAGGUUUCCCCACUGACACAGAGAAGAGAAAAAUGGUUAGCUCAAGUCAGCAGGAGCAAUUUUACUAUAGCUAAAGAUUACAACAACCAAAAAAAUAUGUGAGGGGUUUCCUGUUGUGUGGCCAUCUUUCCUCCUGUGUGUUGUUUGUUUGUAUCUGGUGUUGGGUCCAUCUGGCG